CAGUCGCCACGGUAAUACGUAGGGUGCGAGCGUUAAUCGGAAUUACUAGGCGUAAAGCGUGCGCAGGCGGUUGUGUAAGACAGGUGUGGAAUCCCCGGGCUUAACCUGGGAACUGCGCUUGUGACUGCACAGCUAGAGUAUGGCAGAGGGGGGUGGAAUUCCACGUGUAGCAGUGAAAUGCGUAGGGAUGUGGAGGAACACCGAUGGCGAAGGCAGCCCCCUGGGCCAAUACUGACGCUCAUGCACGAAAGCGUGGGGAGCAAACAGGAUUAGAUACCCGCGUAGUCCCUGUCUCUUAUAC
This 301-nucleotide ribosomal RNA is filed under the name uncultured bacterium. RNAcentral describes it as "partial 16S ribosomal RNA". It matches the Rfam family "Bacterial small subunit ribosomal RNA", at positions 509 to 807 of the family's 1533-position model. The record is from RNAcentral.